RNAcentral lists this ribosomal RNA (42 nucleotides) under Phanerochaete sordida. RNAcentral describes it as "partial 28S ribosomal RNA". Lineage: Eukaryota; Fungi; Basidiomycota; Agaricomycetes; Polyporales; Phanerochaetaceae. The record is from RNAcentral.
GGACUACCCGCUGAACUUAAGCAUAUCAAAAGGCCGGAAGGA